Molecule: non-coding RNA, 26 nt
Filed under: Rattus norvegicus (Norway rat)
Lineage: Eukaryota; Metazoa; Chordata; Mammalia; Rodentia; Muridae
Source: RNAcentral
UCCGUAAAUCAGAGCUGAAGGACACA